UACGAGAGCCUCGAGCGUUAUCCGGAAUUAUUGGGCGUAAAGGGUGCGUAGGUUGUUCUGUUAGUCUUUUGUUAAAGCCCCGAGCUUAACUUGGGAUAUGCAAAAGAAACGGCAGAACUUGAAAGUGCGAGAGGUGUACGGAACUCAUGGUGUAGGGGUGAAAUCCGUUGAUAUCAUGGGGAACACCAAAUGCGAAGGCAGUACACUGGCGCAUAUUUGACACUGAAGCACGAAAGCGUGGGUAGCGAAUGGG
This 253-nucleotide ribosomal RNA is filed under the name uncultured bacterium. RNAcentral's name for it is "partial 16S ribosomal RNA". It matches the Rfam family "Bacterial small subunit ribosomal RNA", at positions 524 to 776 of the family's 1533-position model. The record is from RNAcentral.